UACGUAGGGGGCAAGCGUUGUCCGGAUUUAUUGGGCGUAAAGAGCGUGUAGGCGGCCAGAUAGGUCCGUUGUGAAAACUCGAGGCUCAACCUCGAGACGCCGAUGGAAACCGUAAGGCUAGAGUCCGGAAGAGGAGAGUGGAAUUCCUGGUGUAGCGGUGAAAUGCGCAGAUAUCAGGAGGAACACCCGUGGCGAAAGCGGCUCUCUGGGACGGUACUGACGCUGAGACGCGAAAGCGUGGGGAGCGAACAGG
Molecule: ribosomal RNA, 253 nt
Filed under: uncultured bacterium
Lineage: Bacteria
Description: partial 16S ribosomal RNA
Rfam family: Bacterial small subunit ribosomal RNA
Source: RNAcentral